RNAcentral lists this transfer RNA (91 nucleotides) under Cerataphis jamuritsu. RNAcentral's name for it is "tRNA-Val". Lineage: Eukaryota; Metazoa; Arthropoda; Insecta; Hemiptera; Hormaphididae. The record is from RNAcentral.
UUUAAAGUUAAAUUUUAAAUAAAUAUCUAAAUUUUAAGUAUAUCAUUUACAAUGAUAAGAUGUUUUAUUAUUAAACUUUAUUUAAAUUUUU